ACAAACUUGGUCAUUUAGAGGAAGUAAAAGUCGUAACAAGGUCUCCGUUGGUGAACCAGCGGAGGGAUCAUUACUGAGUUGCUAAACUCCGAACCCUUUGUGAACCUUACCGCAGUUGCCUCGGCGUGAGCCGCGCCUACCCCGCGCCUACCCUGUAGGCGGGAGGGGGGCGCGCACGGCCCGCCGCAGGACCGCUAAACUCUAUUUUAACGUCGAGUAUUUCUGAAUGCUUCAACUGAAAUAAGUUUAAAACUUUCAACAACGGAUCUCUUGGUUCUGGCAUCGAUGAAGAACGCAGC
RNAcentral lists this unclassified non-coding RNA (299 nucleotides) under uncultured fungus. RNAcentral's name for it is "partial contains small subunit ribosomal RNA, internal transcribed spacer 1, and 5.8S ribosomal RNA". The stretch from base 1 to 73 matches the Rfam family "Eukaryotic small subunit ribosomal RNA", at positions 1759 to 1831 of the family's 1831-position model. Lineage: Eukaryota; Fungi. The record is from RNAcentral.